AAAAAAGAAAAAAAGAGGUUGAUUUGCUGCAAAGUCAGAAUUGUAGAGAGAGGGAGAAACAGAGAAGCAGAGAUCUUCCAUCUGCUGCUCUACCCCCUAAAUGGCCACAAGGGCCGGGGCUGGGCCAGGAUGAAGCCAGGAGCCUGGAGCUCCAUCUGGGACUCCCGUGUGGGUGGCAGAGGCCCAAGCACUCAGGCCAUCCUCUUCUGCUUUCCCAGGCACAUUAGCGGAGAGCUGGAUCAGAAGUAGAGCAGCCAAGAUUCAAACCUGGAGUCCCAGGUGACAGCUUAACCCAGUGGACCACGAUACUGUUCCCUGGACUCACUUUUUUAGCUUUAAAGAACUUUCCCAACAUGUGUGAAAUAGUGUUGCCAGAACUCGUGUACUCAUCAUUCAGCUUCUACAGUUACCUGCUGAUGAUCUUGCUGCUUCUAAAACCCUGCCCCCACCCCCACCCCAGCAGAUCUCAGCUAGUGUGUCAUUUCAUAUUGGAUGGUCUCUAAAGGCUUCUAUGUAUAGCUCUAAAAGACUAGGACUUCUCUCUUGAUUUUUCCCCCAGUUUUACAGUUCAUUUGAUGGCAAUUGGUAAAAUCACAAAAUUUCUCGACUUAUGACCCCUUUAGACAGAAGUCUGCAAAUUAGCACUGAUCGUUUGCAAAAGCCAUUAUACUAACUGUACUGUCAUUAUACUUAAGGUUGAUCAAGGGUAACCUAGAAUUAGUCAUUAUGUGAUCAUACAAAAUCAUAUAAUAAAUAUUUAUUAUGUAAAUGAUGUUAUAUAGCAUAAUGAAUCACACCUGGUAUAUCACCCCAAUUUAUAAAAUAAGACCUAGAGAAAGAACUAGAUUUGGGGACACAUAUGACUCCUCUUUGGAAAAAAAAAAAAAACAAAAAAAAAAGGCACAAGAAAGUUCUUAAUAUCAUCAGAUGUCCAGUCUCAUUUCUCUAAUUAUCCUAAGAUUUCUCUCUCUCUCUCUCUCUUAAAGAUUCUAUUUACUUAUUUAUUUGAGAGAGUUAUAGAGAGAGGGAGAGACAGAGAGAAAGGUCUUCCAUCUGCUGAUUCACUCCCCAAAUGGCCUCAGCUGCUGGAGCUGGGCCCAUUGGAAGCCAGGAGCCAGGAGCUUCUUCUGGGUCUCCCAUGCAGGUGGCAGGGAGCUGGACCAGCAAUUGAGAAGCAAGGACUCAAACCAGUUCCGAUUUGGGAUGCCGUUGCCACAGGCUAAGGCUUAGCCUACUACACCACAGCGCAGGCCCUAUGAUUUCUCUUUUUUGAAGAGUUACUUUAUUUAUUUGAAGGUGGAGUAAAAGAGAGAGAGAAACAGGGCCGGCGCCGUGGCUCAAUAGGCUAAUCCUCCACCUUGCGGCGCCGGCACACCGGGUUCUAGUCCCGGUCGGGGCGCCGGAUUCUGUCCCGGUUGCCCCUCUUCCAGGCCAGCUCUCUGCUGUGGCCAGGGAGUGCAGUGGAGGAUGGCCCAGGUGCUUGGGCCCUGCACCCCAUGGGAGACCAGGAAAAGCACCUGGCUCCUGGCUCCUGCCAUCGGAUCAGCGCGGUGCGCCGGCUGCAGCGGCGGCCAUUGGAGGGUGAACCAACGGCAAAAGGAAGACCUUUCUCUCUCUGUCUCUCUCUCUCACUGUCCACUCUGCCUGUCAAAAAUAAAAAAAUAAAAUAAAAAAAAAUCACCUCCAUUUCUGAAUACGCGCAAUUACAAUCUAUCAGCUAAAAAUAAAAGAUAAUGAUUUAAAAAAAAAAAAGAGAGAGAGAGAGAAACAGAGAAAGAGAUCUUCCAUCCACUGGUUCACUCUCCAAAAGGCCACAACAGCCAGGGCUGGACCAGGCCAAAGCCAGGAGCCUGGAACUCCAUCCAGGUCUUCCACGUGGGUGGCAGGGACCCAAGUACUUGGGCCAUCCUCUGCUGCUUUCCUAGGUGCAUUAGCAGAAGCUGGAUCAGAAGUGGAGCAGCCAGGACUCGAACCAGUGCUCUGAUAUGGGAUGCCAGCCUUGCAGGCAGCAGCUUAACCCACUGCUCUACAACUCUAGUCCCCGAGUUCUCUUUCUUUAAAAAGUCUUUUUAUUUGAAAAAGAAUCCAAACAAUUCCACAUUGUGUCCCUUAAAUCACUUUUUUAAAAAAGAUUUAUUUUAUUUAUUUGAAAGACAGAGUUACAGAGCAAGAGAGAGAGAGAGAGAAAGAGGUCUUCCAUCUGGUGGUUCACUCCCCAAAUGACCGCAACGGCCAGAGCUGAGCUAAUCCAAAGCCAGGAGCUUCUUCCAAGUCUCCCACACUGGUGCAGGGGCCCAAGUGCUUGGGCCAUCUUCUACUGCUUUCUGAGGCCAUAGCAGGGAGCUGGACCAGAAGUGGAGCAGCUGGGACUCGAACUGGCGCCCAUAUGGGAUGCCGCUGCUGUAGGCUGCAGCUUUAAUCUGCUGCACCACAGCGCCGGCCCCCCACCCUUAAAUCACUUUUAAUGUGUGGGUCCCCUCCUUUCUCAAUUGUUUUGUUGAAGAAAGGAUAAUUUGUUCAGUAGAGUUUCCUACAGUCUAGAUUUUGAUGGUUGUUUUCCUAUGUGGUGUUUGCCAGAUUUUAAAUAUUUGUGGUAUUGAUUGGAUCGUUUAAUUUCAUGAAGUGAAUCUCGUGUUUGUAGUUACGUGUGCCAGGAAAUAAAUAAUAAAAUAGCAAAAGUGUUUAAGCAAAACAAAGCAGUCAUUGGCUUUGGUCACGCUGCAAAGGAACUAAGCUCUCAGGAGUUCUAUGCAGUUUCUCAGAGACCCCGUGCAGGUGGAAGAUGCCACCACACUCGGGCAAGUAAAACAGGUGCAGCCCCCAUUUGCUAGGGGUUUGGUGCGGAAGGAGGCAUCGCCUCUUCGUGGUUCAGCAGGCCAUGGCUGUUCCUGCAGAGCUGUGUGUGUAUCAGAUGUUACCUUGCCCAUCCUGCCUGGAAGGCUGACUUUGCUGGCACAGAGGCAGUGAAGGGCGACAGCUCUGAAGACCUGUGCUGGUGUUGAAACGGCUCCAGAUUUGGCUGGGAAGCGGGGCAGGAGCCGCCUCCUCUUUCUGCUUUUGCCCCAGCUCUCUCCUCCCCCUCAGCCCUUUACCUUCUAGAACGUCUCUCACCAUUGCACACUCAGUGUGUAGGGCAGGGGCUGUCACCUGUUUGUUUAUCUAAUAUCUGUUUGUUCAGCCCUGACUGUGCCUCACACUAACCCAGGGAGGCCCUAGGGCUGCCAAAAUAAAGACAGAGGUAGUCCCUGUCCGCCUUACGGGACCUAAUCUGGGCAAAUAAUCACUCAGGCCUCCAAAGCUGUUAAUGGUGACAGCUGACCGUAAGGCUCGGGCACGUCUGAAGGCCCCUGGAAAGGCUGCCAUUGUGAGCAAAGCUUCGAGAGAGGAGAGAGAAGACGUACAGUGCACAAUGCGAGAACCGAAGUUCGGAGGUAGAGGAGCAGGCGAGCGGUUUGCCCGGGCGCAGAGCAUGAAGGCCGGGCGGGCGCGGGGAGCGGGCGCCCCCCUACCGGCCCGUUGGUGACCGA
Oryctolagus cuniculus (rabbit) is the source of this 3527-nucleotide non-coding RNA. The record is from RefSeq and is a predicted model, not a curated record. NCBI's taxonomy places the organism in Eukaryota, Metazoa, Chordata, Mammalia, Lagomorpha, Leporidae.